GACAGAACCCAAAGGAAAAGACCCAGGGUGCAGAUUGGCAGAAGCUAUUCUGGCCCAUGAGCAGAGCAUCAAGAAUGUGUGUUGCAAGAGAGUCUUGCUCUGUCACCCAGGCUGGAGUGCAGUGGCACCAUCUCGGCUCACCGCAAGCUCUGCCUCCUGGGUUCAUGCCAUUCUCCUGCCUCAGCCUCCUGAGUAGCUGGGACUACAGGCGUCCGCCACCACACCCGGGGAGAGGAGAAAAAAGUGCAUGAAGUAAAGAAAAAGCAAGGAAUGAGAGAAAAAAUGGAGGAGUGAGUACCACAGCCCAGUCAGUAAGCGUUACAUGGAGUCUCACUUUGUCGCCAGGCUGGAGUGCAGUCAGCUCGCUGCAACCUCCACCUCCCGGGUUCAAGAGAUUCUCCUGCCUCACACUCCUGAGUAGCCGGGACUACAGACAUUUAGAAAUUAUUACAAGAACUUUUUCUGGACAGACAAGAACCUAAAUCUGAACAUCUAAAAGGCUCACAAAGAAUCAAGCAAAUUUAUUGAAAGAGACCAACACUUAUUAGACCUACCUUCGUCAACUGAAGAUCAAGAAAAAAAUUCCAAGAGGCAUUUGGACAGAAAAGUGUGUUGAUUCCACAGGAACAAAAAUCAAACUGCAUUCAGAAUUCUCCUCUGCAAUGUCUAAUAGCAGGAGAAAUAAAAUGGUACCAGCACAGCUUCAAGGGAAAAAGACUCAUUCUAAGAAACCUGUAUUUAGGAAGCUGUUCAAGUAAAAGGGUAACGGAAGAAAUGUUCUUAGAUGUGCAACUCACUGUUA
RNAcentral lists this long non-coding RNA (802 nucleotides) under Pongo abelii (Sumatran orangutan). RNAcentral's name for it is "lincRNA". Lineage: Eukaryota; Metazoa; Chordata; Mammalia; Primates; Hominidae. The record is from RNAcentral.